This 454-nucleotide ribosomal RNA is filed under the name uncultured bacterium. RNAcentral describes it as "bacterial SSU rRNA". It matches the Rfam family "Bacterial small subunit ribosomal RNA", at positions 29 to 524 of the family's 1533-position model. The record is from RNAcentral.
AACGAACGCUGGCGGCAUGCCUAACACAUGCAAGUCGAACGAGAUCCUUCGGGGUCUAGUGGCGGACGGGUGAGUAACGCGUGGGGACCUGCCCAGGGGUACGGAAUAACUACGGGAAACUGUAGCUAAUACCGUAUGAUGCCGAAAGGCCAAAGAUUUAUCGCCCUUGGAUGGACCCGCGUUGGAUUAGCUAGUUGGUGAGGUAAUGGCUCACCAAGGCGACGAUCCAUAGCUGGUUUGAGAAGAUGAUCAGCCACACUGGGACUGAGACACGGCCCAGACUCCUACGGGAGGCAGCAGUGGGGGAAUAUUGGACAAUGGGGGCAACCCUGAUCCAGCAAUGCCGCGUGAGUGAAGAAGGCCUUAGGGUUGUAAAGCUCUUUCAGAUGGGAAGAUAAUGACGGUACCAUCAGAAGAAGCCCCCGGCUAACUCCGUGCCAGCAGCCGCGGUAAU